CCUACGGGAGGCAGCAGUGGGGAAUAUUGGACAAUGGGCGAAAGCCUGAUCCAGCAAUGCCGCGUGAGUGAUGAAGGCCUUCGGGUCGUAAAGCUCUUUUACCAGGGAUGAUAAUGACAGUACCUGGAGAAUAAGCUCCGGCUAACUCCGUGCCAGCAGCCGCGGUAAUACGGAGGGAGCUAGCGUUGUUCGGAAUUACUGGGCGUAAAGAGUACGUAGGCGGUUAUUCAAGUCAGAGGUGAAAGCCCGGGGCUCAACCCCGGAACUGCCUUUGAAACUAGAUAACUAGAGUCUUGGAGAGGUUAGUGGAAUUCCGAGUGUAGAGGUGAAAUUCGUAGAUAUUCGGAAGAACACCAGUGGCGAAGGCGACUAACUGGACAAGUACUGACGCUGAGGUACGAAAGCGUGGGGAGCAAACAGGAUUAGAUACCCUGGUAGUCCACGCCGUAAACGAUGAUAACUAGUUGUUCGGUCACUUGGUGACUGAGUGACGCAGCUAACGCAUUAAGUUAUCCGCCUGGGGAGUACGGUCGCAAGNUUAAAAACUCAAAAUGAGUAGACGGACGUGUAGAGUUGCGAACGGACGACGACGAGGGAGGAGG
Molecule: ribosomal RNA, 602 nt
Filed under: uncultured bacterium
Lineage: Bacteria
Description: bacterial SSU rRNA
Rfam family: Bacterial small subunit ribosomal RNA
Source: RNAcentral